Molecule: RNA transcript, 2155 nt
Organism: Carya illinoinensis
Lineage: Eukaryota; Viridiplantae; Streptophyta; Magnoliopsida; Fagales; Juglandaceae
Gene name: ubiquinol oxidase 2, mitochondrial-like
Exons: 6
Source: RefSeq, a predicted model, not a curated record
CCCCUUAAACCCUUGCACACGUUCAUCGUGGACAAACAGCUGAAGACAGAAAGCCUUAAGUCAAAGCCAAGAUUUCUUCUACUUUUUCCUGUAAAAACUUUCCAAAAAGCUUGGGGUUCGAUCGGCGCAGAUGGUGGCGAUGAUGAUGCGUCUGGGCCGGCUUUCCGGUCCCAUGAUGGCCACGUUGGGACCACGCCUCUUCUCUCAUUCCGCUGCCGGUACUACUAGUGCCGCUGGCCGCGGAUUGGCCUCGUGUGGAAACUCGUUGCUGGUCGGUUUCUUGCGCGGGAGUGUUCCGGCCAAUGAUGCUGGCGUGAAUUGGAUUGUGGGGGUGCGGAGCUGCAGCACGGUAGCGCAGCAGCAGGUGCAGAAUGGUAAGAAUCAUGCUUCGAAUGCCGCUCCGGCAGCUGACAGUACUAAGGAAGCGAAGGAGAUUGUGAGUUACUGGGGCGUGCCGCCGGUGAAGGUUGUGAACAAGGACGGCACCGUAUGGAAGUGGGACUGCUUUAGGCCCUGGGAGACGUACCAAGCGGACCUGUCGAUUGAUCUGAAGAAGCACCACGUGCCUUUGAACUUAUUGGACAAAUUGGCUUAUUGGAUGGUCAAAGCCCUCAGGGUGCCCACUGACCUGUUCUUUCAGAAGCGAUAUGGAUGCCGGGCAAUGAUGCUAGAAACUGUGGCAGCUGUUCCCGGCAUGGUUGGAGGCAUGCUGCUGCAUUGCAAGUCACUGAGGCGAUUUGAGCAGAGUGGUGGCUGGAUCAAAUCACUGCUGGAAGAAGCUGAGAAUGAGCGCAUGCACCUCAUGACAUUCAUGGAGGUAACCAAGCCUAGGUGGUACGAUCGUGCACUGGUGAUUUCUGUCCAAGCUGUCUUCUUCAAUGCUUACUUCUUAGGCUAUAUGAUAUCUCCCAAAUUUGCUCACCGGGUGGUGGGUUACCUGGAAGAGGAGGCAAUACACUCGUACACCGAGUUCCUCAACGAACUGGACAAAGGUAACAUCAAGAACGUGCCGGCUCCGGCCAUUGCUAUUGAUUACUGGCAGCUUCCUCCCAACUCCACCUUACGUGAUGUUGUCAUGGUGGUAAGAGCAGAUGAGGCACACCACCGCGAUGUCAAUCACUUCGCAUCCGACGUGCAUUUUCAUGGACGCGAGUUGAAGGAUGUUUCUGCUCCAGUUGGAUAUCACUAAGUCCUAUAAUUUUGGUUGCUUGGUGUGAGAAAGUCACAAGUUUUAAUCUCUUGAUUGAAUAAGUUUGUUUUGAAGCACAGGGAACCUCUCCCAAGUAUUUAUAUAUUUAUUUAUUUUACUAGCAAAAAAUGGUAGGAGGGGCCAAGUUCAAAGGUGCCUUUCCUCUCUGGGUGUGAUCAUGAUGGUAUCUUUUCUCGUUAGAAAUCGGAUAUGAAGUCUAGAUGGCGAGAAGCAACUAGAAUCCUACAAAGAAGUUCUAGCCACGGUCGUGGCAUUAGUGCCCUCGCCGUAGAAGGAUGAGACAACUUCAAGACACACCUUCUGCCAACUCUCACAGUUCCACCUCCUGACUGUAUUUUAUUGUAAAUACUCGGUUUGUUACAUCUCAAUUUUAUUGUAACGACUUGAGACUGUGAGAGAUGUAACAAAAAUUCUUACCGCUAUAAAAUUAAGGCAGCAAACGGUGGAACCCACUACCCAAGAAAAACAGUUGUUGCCCUUCAGAGUAAUCCACCGCCAAAUCUUACAAGUUGCCGGUUAGAUAACUUAUUGUCAACAGACAGAUGAAAGAUGGAGGUAUUUUGCCCUUCUGCAAUCCGGGGAAAGAAAAUUUCAAGAUCAGGAGGGACGGAACUUGAAGCAGAGUCUUCUGAAUUGACUUUGGAUAGGUGGGAUGAGCCGAGGAGAUGGGACAUCAAAAAGAGCUAUUUUGAUAGGACCAGCAGACUCGGCUUCCCUCUCUGUCAGCAAUGGACACCGAAGCAUACAUGCAUGUUAGAACAAUGUGGAAGCAUUCGGAUGCAAAACAAGAAGGAUGUAUGUGGUCGGACUAUAGAUUUGGGCUCAUUUGGCUGUAAGACUCAAUUGAAAUCAACUCGAUUUAGUCUAAUUUUAAAUUGAAUAACAUCUAAAUACCCAACUCUUAAAUUAUUAAAUUCAUCUAAACUAAAAGCCUCUUUAUAUGUG